Molecule: ribosomal RNA, 383 nt
Filed under: uncultured organism
Description: partial 16S ribosomal RNA
Rfam family: Bacterial small subunit ribosomal RNA
Source: RNAcentral
GUAGGGGGGCGAGCGUUGUCCGGAUUUAUUGGGGGGCGUAAAGGGGCUCGUAGGGCGGGCUUAACAGGGUCGGGCCGUGAAAACCCAGGGCUCAACCCUGGGACGCCGGUCGAUACUGUUAUGGCUAGGGUCCGGUAGAGGAGAAUGGAAUUCCCGGUGUAGCGGUGAAAUGCGCAGAUAUCGGGAGGAACACCAGUAGCGAAGGCGGUUCUCUGGGCCGGUACCGACGCUGAGGAGCGAAAGCGUGGGGAGCAAACAGGAUUAGAUACCCUGGUAGUCCACGCCGUAAACGGUGGGUACUAGGUGUGGCGUCUUUAUCAACGGAUGCCGUGCCGAAGCUAACGCAUUAAGUACCCCGCCUGGGGAGUACGGCCGCAAGGCUA